CCUACGGGAGGCAGCAGUGGGGAAUAUUGGGCAAUGGGCGCAAGCCUGACCCAGCAACGCCGCGUGAAGGAAGAAGGCUCUCGGGUUGUAAAAUUCUUUUUUUAGGGACGUAGCCAGUGACGGUACCUGCUGAAUAAGCCUCGGCUAACUACGUGCCAGCAGCCGCGGUAAUACGUCGGUGGCAAGCGUUAUACGGAUUUACUGGGUGUAAAGGGCGUGUAGGCGGGACGGGAAGUCAGAUGUGAAAACCAUGGGCUCAACCGGUGGACUGCAUUUGAAACUGUUUUUCUUGAGUACUGGGGAGGCAGACGGAAUUCCUAGUGUAGCGGUGAAAUGCGUAGAUAUUAGGAAGAACACCAGUGGCGAAGGCGGACUGCUGGACAGCAACUGACGCUGAGGCGCGAAAGCGUGGGGAGCAAACAGGAUUAGAUACCCGAGUAGUC
This 443-nucleotide ribosomal RNA is filed under the name uncultured bacterium. RNAcentral's name for it is "partial 16S ribosomal RNA". It matches the Rfam family "Bacterial small subunit ribosomal RNA", at positions 338 to 795 of the family's 1533-position model. The record is from RNAcentral.